UGGGGAAUCUUGGACAAUGGGGGCAACCCUGAUCCAGCGAUGCCGCGUGGGUGAAGAAGGCCUUCGGGUUGUAAAGCCCUUUAGGUUGGGAAGAAGUGUGAGAGUUUAAGAGAUACCCACAUUGACGGUACCAACAGAAUAAGCACCGGCAAACUCUGUGCCAGCAGCCGCGGUAAUACAGAGGGUGCAAGCGUUAAUCGGAGUUACUGGGCGUAAAGGGCGCGUAGGCGGAUUAAUGAGUGUGAUGUGAAAGCCCUGGGCUUAACCUAGGAAGUGCAUCGCAAACGAUUGAUCUAGAGUAGAUGAGAGGGUGGCGGAAUUUCCGGUGUAGCGGUGAAAUGCGUAGAGAUCGGAAGGAACGUCAAUGGCGAAGGCAGCCACCUGGCAUCAUACUGACGCUGAGGCGCGAAAGCAUGGGGAGCGAACA
This 427-nucleotide ribosomal RNA is filed under the name uncultured Aquicella sp. Its description in RNAcentral is "partial 16S ribosomal RNA". It matches the Rfam family "Bacterial small subunit ribosomal RNA", at positions 355 to 774 of the family's 1533-position model. Lineage: Bacteria; Pseudomonadati; Pseudomonadota; Gammaproteobacteria; Legionellales; Coxiellaceae. The record is from RNAcentral.